GGGGCAUUGAAUGUUGGAUCUAGCAUGGUGUCGGCACUAAGAAGUAAAGCAUCUCUCUCUAUCUCUGUAGCAGAUCUUGAAAGUUAGAGAUCUUCCUUAGCUCAAGAACUGUUUGCCUCUCUAUUUAUUCAUUGGUUGCAGGGAUCUUUAGCGUGAAUCUCCCAUAUACAUGGAAUCUAAACCAUGGAUAUCUAUUUAAAUGGGAAUUGACUCUGUUUCCCAACUGCUACAUUGAGGAUAAGACGUGGCUGCUGAAAUUCUACAUCAAGGUUAGAGAAAAC
Molecule: long non-coding RNA, 281 nt
Organism: Magnolia sinica
Lineage: Eukaryota; Viridiplantae; Streptophyta; Magnoliopsida; Magnoliales; Magnoliaceae
Exons: 3
Source: RefSeq, a predicted model, not a curated record